UACGUAGGGCGCGAGCGUUGUCCGGAUUUAUUGGGCGUAAAGAGCUCGUAGGCGGCUUGUCGCGUCGACUGUGAAAACCCGUGGCUCAACCAUGUGGUCUGCAGUCGAUACGGGCAGGCUAGAAUUCGGUAGGGGAGACUGGAAUUCCUGGUGUAGCGGUGAAAUGCGCAGAUAUCAGGAGGAACACCGGUGGCGAAGGCGGGUCUCUGGGCCGAUACUGACGCUGAGGAGCGAAAGCGUGGGGAGCGAACAGG
Molecule: ribosomal RNA, 254 nt
Filed under: uncultured bacterium
Lineage: Bacteria
Description: partial 16S ribosomal RNA
Rfam family: Bacterial small subunit ribosomal RNA
Source: RNAcentral